This 178-nucleotide unclassified non-coding RNA is filed under the name uncultured fungus. RNAcentral's name for it is "sequence contains ITS1, 5.8S rRNA gene". Lineage: Eukaryota; Fungi. The record is from RNAcentral.
GUAUUUUGAAUUGUUUUAUUCAUAAUAUUUUUCAGACAAAGAGUUGAGAUAAUAGUUGAUGUUUGGGGCUGAUCAAAAGAGACCAACCCUGACAUUGCACACAAGGUGGAUAUAGAUUUAAAAAAGUGCCAUAAAACACUUAUUAUGAAUGAUCCUUCCGCAGGUUCACCUACGGAAA